AUUGAACGCUGGCGGCAGGCUUAACACAUGCAAGUCGAGCGGAGAUGAGGUGCUUGCACCUUAUCUUAGCGGCGGACGGGUGAGUAAUGCUUAGGAAUCUGCCUAUUAGUGGGGGACAACAUUCCGAAAGGAAUGCUAAUACCGCAUACGUCCUACGGGAGAAAGCAGGGGAUCUUCGGACCUCGCGCUAAUAGAUGAGCCUAAGUCGGAUUAGCUAGUUGGUGGGGUAAAGGCCUACCAAGGCGACGAUCUGUAGCGGGUCUGAGAGGAUGAUCCGCCACACUGGGACUGAGACACGGCCCAGACUCCUACGGGAGGCAGCAGUGGGGAAUAUUGGACAAUGGGGGGAACCCUGAUCCAGCCAUGCCGCGUGUGUGAAGAAGGCCUUAUGGUUGUAAAGCACUUUAAGCGAGGAGGAGGCUACUGAGACUAAUACUCUUGGAUAGUGGACGUUACUCGCAGAAUAAGCACCAGCUAACUCUGUGCCAGCCGCCGCGGUAA
Molecule: ribosomal RNA, 501 nt
Filed under: uncultured bacterium
Lineage: Bacteria
Description: partial 16S ribosomal RNA
Rfam family: Bacterial small subunit ribosomal RNA
Source: RNAcentral